UACACACAUGACUGUAAGUCACAUUGGAUAAAAGUGUCUGCUAAAUGGCAUAUA
This is a non-coding RNA of Salmo salar (Atlantic salmon), 54 nucleotides long. The record is from Rfam. NCBI's taxonomy places the organism in Eukaryota, Metazoa, Chordata, Actinopteri, Salmoniformes, Salmonidae.